CCAAUAGCGUAUAUUAAAGUUGUUGCAGUUAAAAAGCUCGUAGUUGAAUUUCGGGAUCAAUAUGUUGGUCGUGCCUUGGUACGUACUAAUUUAUUGGUUUCUUCCUUCUGACGAACCAUGAUGUCAUUAAUUUGGUGUCUUGGGGAAUCAGGACUGUUACUUUGAAAAAAUUAGAGUGUUUAAAGCAGGCUCACGCUUGAAUACAUUAGCAUGGAAUAAUGAAAUAGGAUGUUUGAUUCUAUUUUGUUGGUUUCUAGGAUCGACGUAAUGAUUAAUAGGGAUAGUUGGGGGCAUUAGUAUUCAAUUGUCAGAGGUGAAAUUCUUGGAUUUAUUGAAGACUAACUACUGCGAAAGCAUUUGCCAAGGAUGUUUUCAUUAAUCAAGAACGAAAGUUAGGGGAUCGAAGACGAUCAGAUACCGUCGUAGUCUUAACCAUAAACUAUGCCGACUAGGGAUCGGAUGAUGUUAAUUUUUUAAUGACUCAUUCGGCGCCUUACG
Molecule: non-coding RNA, 498 nt
Filed under: uncultured Glomus
Lineage: Eukaryota; Fungi; Glomeromycota; Glomeromycetes; Glomerales; Glomeraceae
Also listed under: 1 other name
Description: SSU rRNA
Rfam family: Eukaryotic small subunit ribosomal RNA
Source: RNAcentral